RNAcentral lists this transfer RNA (68 nucleotides) under Aedes aegypti (yellow fever mosquito). RNAcentral describes it as "partial tRNA-OTHER". The record is from RNAcentral. Lineage: Eukaryota; Metazoa; Arthropoda; Insecta; Diptera; Culicidae.
CAAGUGGUAGCUUAAUUGGUAAAGCACUCGUCUAGCAUGCAAGAGUCGUGGAAUCGAAUCCUACAUGA